RNAcentral lists this ribosomal RNA (303 nucleotides) under uncultured bacterium. RNAcentral's name for it is "partial 16S ribosomal RNA". It matches the Rfam family "Bacterial small subunit ribosomal RNA", at positions 507 to 807 of the family's 1533-position model. The record is from RNAcentral.
AGCAGUCGCCGCGGUAAUACGUAGGGUGCGAGCGUUAAUCGGAAUUACUGGGCGUAAAGCGUGCGCAGGCGGUUGUGUAAGACAGGUGUGAAAUCCCCGGGCUUAACCUGGGAACUGCGCUUGUGACUGCACAGCUAGUGUAUGGCAGAGGGGGGUGGAAUUCCACGUGUAGCAGUGAAAUGCGUAGAGAUGUGGAGGAACACCGAUGGCGAAGGCAGCCCCCUGGGCCAAUACUGACGCUCAUGCACGAAAGCGUGGGGAGCAAACAGGAUUAGAUACCCCCGUAGUCCCUGUCUCUUAUAC